This 497-nucleotide ribosomal RNA is filed under the name uncultured bacterium. RNAcentral's name for it is "partial 16S ribosomal RNA". It matches the Rfam family "Bacterial small subunit ribosomal RNA", at positions 28 to 507 of the family's 1533-position model. The record is from RNAcentral.
GACGAACGCUGGCGGCGUGCCUAAUACAUGCAAGUAGAACGCUGAAGAGAGGAGCUUGCUCUUCUUGGAUGAGUUGCGAACGGGUGAGUAACGCGUAGGUAACCUGCCUUGUAGCGGGGGAUAACUAUUGGAAACGAUAGCUAAUACCGCAUCACACUGGCUGACCCAUGUCAUUUAUUUGAAAGGGGCAAAUGCUCCACUACAAGAUGGACCUGCGUUGUAUUAGCUAGUAGGUGAGGUAACGGCUCACCUAGGCGACGAUACAUAGCCGACCUGAGAGGGUGGUCGGCCACACUGGGACCGGGGCACGGCCCAGACCCCUACGGGAGGCAGCAGUAGGGAAACAUCGGAAAUGGGGGCAACCCUGACCGAGGAACGCCGCGUGAGGGAAGAAGGGUUUCGGGUCGGAAAGGUCGGUUGUUAGGCAAGAAAGAGUGUGAGGGUGGAAAGUUCACACUGUGACGGUAGCUAACCAGAAAGGGACGGCUAACUACGUG